AGUGAACGCUGGCGGUAGGCUUAACACAUGCAAGUCGAACGGCAGCACAGUAAGAUCUUGCUCUUAUGGGUUGCGAGUGGCGUACGGGUGACGAAUAUAUCGUAAUCUACUUUUUCGUGUGGGUUAACGUAGCGAAACUUACUCUAAUAUCGCAUACGAUCUACGGUUGAAAGCAGUGGAUCGUCGGAGCUUGCGCGAUUGAAUGAGCCGAUGUCGGAGUAGCUAGUUGGCGGGGUAAAGGCCCACCAAGGCGACGAUCCGUAGCUGGUCUGAGAGGAUGAUCAGCCACACGGGAACUGAAACACGGUCCAGGCGCCUGCGGGAGGCAGCAGUGGGGAAUAUUGGACAAUGGGGGCAAGCCUGAUCCAGCCAGCCCGCGUGGGUGACGGAGGCCUUCGGGUUGUAAAGCCCUUUUGUUGGGAAAGAAAAGCUGCAGGUUGAUACCCCGCUGUUCUGACGGUACCCAAAGAAUAAGCACCGGCUAACUUCGUG
RNAcentral lists this ribosomal RNA (492 nucleotides) under uncultured bacterium. RNAcentral describes it as "partial 16S ribosomal RNA". It matches the Rfam family "Bacterial small subunit ribosomal RNA", at positions 29 to 507 of the family's 1533-position model. The record is from RNAcentral.